GCUGUUAAGGGUUCGUAGUUGAACUGUGGGCAGCCAAGGAGACGAUCAAGUCCCACCCUGUUUCCCGGGUCGGCGACCAUCGCUCUUGCUGUUCGUGAACAACAGAAACAAAGACCACGGAUUGAUACUCUGCCCGACACCUCUUCGCAUGCGAUGCAUGCAGUGCGUGGCGGAUGUCCGUGUUUUUACUGUGACUAAAAAAGCGUGACCAAGGCAGUCAUUCGACAUGAAUUGCAAGCAUGGGAUAACAAAGGAGCAACCUACGGAUUACCGUAACGGCUUUUGUUGGUUUUAAGGUCUGUGGGAGACUAUGGGUGCGCAUUGACAAGCGGUUCGGGGUUCGUCCCCACGCCUCCCUGUUCUGCUUCGUUUCGUCGGUUCCCGGCGACGGCGUUCAGGGCUUGUGCGCCCAGGAUGAAGGAGGGUUGUUCGGGGGAGAACGUACUUGAGCGUGAGAGGUGAAAUUCUUAGACCGCUCAAGACGAACUACAGCGAAGGCAUUCUCCAAGGAUACCUUCCUCAAUCAAGAACCAAGUGUGGAGAUCGAAGAUGAUUAGAUACCAUUGUAGUCC
This 572-nucleotide ribosomal RNA is filed under the name uncultured kinetoplastid. Its description in RNAcentral is "bacterial SSU rRNA". It matches the Rfam family "Eukaryotic small subunit ribosomal RNA", at positions 615 to 1026 of the family's 1831-position model. Lineage: Eukaryota; Euglenozoa; Kinetoplastea. The record is from RNAcentral.